CGCCUGUAAUGUUCUAGUAAAAAUAAAAAAGCAUAUUGCAAAAAUGUACUUCCUAUAAAAAUUGAAUCUUUUAAAGUCAUUUUGUAUUGAUAACCGUAUAGCAAAUUGCUGUUGUAGAAAGUCAAAUACAAAUUAAAUGUAGCUCGCUUCAAUACAGAAAUAUUAAAGAUAAAGCAUUUCGUUAAAAUUUAGUUACAAUUGAAUUAAAUGUUUAUGCACUUCUCACUCGCUCGUAAGCUAAGCUUGUCUUAACAUAUUCUCUCUUUAUACAAAUUAAUUUAAAUAUAUUUUUCCAAAUUAAAUUACAUAUUAUCAUUCAAAGUAAGUGUCAUAUAGUAACAGAAACUUUUCCCUUAAUUAACGAGAUAUGUCAGAAAUUUAUCUUCUCAAGCUAAAGAACAUUAAUACAAAAUUUCGAAACGUUCGAAAAUUUACUUGCAUCCUUUUAAAUUAAAUUUUUCCCUUUCUUUAUUGUAAUACUUAUUGAUUCAAGUGAAACUUUUGAGAAUAGCAUGCAUUGUUACAGUAUGUAUUAUGAGAUAAUUUGCAGUAACUUUUUCACCGUUUCUUACGUCAUAAAUAAACAGAGCGCAUUGCCAAUUUGUGCCCCGAUCUUCCCUGCUGAACUUUCCAUUAAAUCCUUUCAAUAACAUCAGAAAAACACAUCUCGCGAGAUAACCGGCCACGGAGAAAAGAGAUAAUGGCCGUUUUUUUUGUGUUCUAAAUUGCACAUUUUUACACGAGUCGAGAAUUUGUACGUGGUUAAAAUGUAAUCACCGCUCACGUUGCAGUACGUAAGUUAUUUUCGAAGCCGAAUGUAUACGCAUACACACCGGUACGGGGAGAGGAGGGAAUAGAGGAGAACGACACACGAAGGAGUUAACACACGUACGUGUAGUGCAUACAUAUGUAACGGAGCAUCCGUGCUCCGAGCAUUGCGUGCGGUCGUAAAUCACGGGAAAUACGAGUUGACUUUAAUGGCGACUGCGAUUUUUAUCCUCUGUCGAUGCGUGCGUAGUGGCGGACGCGAGAAAAGAAAGAAAGAGAGAGAGAGAGAGAGAGAGAGAGAGAGAAAAAGAAAUAAUUCGCCGCACACUCGAAGUGUUGAAAAUAUAUAUCCGACGUCGGGUCUGCGGAACAGCACGCGAGAGAUCGCGACCGAGUUAAAACAUUAAGAAACGCGCCGCGGCGCGUUUAAUUCUCGAGAUCUCGCGAGACGACCGCCCCUAUAGCAAAAAGAAAAUGUCGGCGAAACGGAGUUGUCGAAUGUCACAUUAGUAUUAUUUUUUUCCCCUCAACACGCUCCUCGCGAAAUACCGUCGCGACGGUAGCCAGGGGUUUUUUUUUCUCUCUUUAAGAAACGGGCACACUCCCGGGCACUCCCCCGCGAUUUAUUCAUUUUCUCAUUACGUAAGAGAUUAAGUCAUACAUUUUGACGACGUGUGCGCGACACGAUCGUAAGAUGCAAAAAGGCAGCAAUUUGCAGGAGGAAUUAAUGCAACUUUACUGCGACCACCGGCGGCCCUUCAUGUCGCAACUUCAAUAACACGAUGUUGCACAACGAGCAUCCUUACGUUUGUCAACCGCGCAGAAGAAAAAAAUUUCUUUUCCCUCUCCUUACGACAAUUUUUUUUAAAUUAUUUCGCCGUUUAUACUUAUUCGAGGCCAACGUACGGCGCGCCGUUAAUAUUCCCCUUUGUACGGGCCCGCUCGUAUUACUCCGGCGAAUUCGCGGGCGGUUUUAUGAACAAUUAAAACCCUCUCAACGAGGAUAUUAAAAUUUAUUAAGGAAGCGAAAGAUAUUUAUAUCGGCCGGUGUUAUAACCCCGGGCCCGCUUCGGGGAGAGGUAAAAGUUCGCUUUUACACGAAAGCGCGAAUCGCCCGUCGAGCGUUUUCGUCCCGAGGGCGCUUUUUCGACGGCGGCGCGUCGUAAACUCGAGAGGAAUGCUGUUAAAUACGGACCGCGGGUGUCGUGAAUUAAUUUAAUGACGUAAAUGACACCUUACGACAGCUUAAAUCAUUUUUUUUCACUCGUAAACGCACGCUUAAGGCCGAAGAAACGGCUGAGAGUGCGCGCUUAAAAUGUACAAUAUUGUGCAAGUAUCCGAGUUCCAAGUGUAACUAACAAAUUAGUUCGUUUAUCAAUCAAUUCAAUUAUUACGUAUAUGGAAAAAGGUGUUUCAAAUCUGAUAACGCGUGUUCGGAAAUUUUCAAUGAUCAGUACAAGCAUUUUUUAUCUUGAUUCUUGAAUAAAUAAAAACAAGUUUUAAAUAAAUAAUUAUUUUGAAUUUCAAAAAAUGCUAUUAUAAUUUGGUAAAAAAUUUUAUCAAUUUCUAUUAAAAUUUUACUCAAUUUCACUGGAGAGUUUAGUAAAGUCCGUCUGUUCUCCGUCUCGUGGAUCUUGAAAAAAAAAAAAGACAGGUUUACUGUCGCGUAGUGUCUCGUGGGAGAGCAUCACUAUAAAUUAUGUACAUAUCAGGGGCCGGCAACGAGUUACAAAUGCGCUUCGGUGAGAUACCGAACGGUGGUCGCGCAAUUUAUUCGCGCCGUGGUCCGAAGGUCGUUUAGGAGCUUUUAAAAUCACGAUCACCCCGCCCAAUUAGAGUGCGGGCGAGCAACACACAGAGCACACGCUCCUUAUAUUGUUCGCGCUCGCGUGCUCACUCGAGCAGUCGAGCAAAGCGUCGCACGAGUCGCGUUCCCGCCGGAAGAGUUAGGCCUAUAAAUCGCGACGCUCGUUGUUAGUCUGCUCCGGAUGCGGACCAUACCGGUAAUAAUGUAUCCCGUGGGGACUAUCGCGUGUCCGAGCGGCGACGACAUCCGGAUCAAGGGUCACCAGCCGAGCGGGUUUUAAACGAACGAACGGAGAACCUAAUCAUUGUCCGACGACGACGUCUCGGUGACUCGUCCCGCGGCGAAUUUAAUUUCUGAAUAAGAGAACCGAAUAGUUGAAACUAUUUAGAUCUCGUGCAGCUUUGCGAACGAGUCUGUAUGAUUCUAGAUAAAGGAAGAAAAAUAGAAGACACGGAUUAAAUCCAUAACGGAGUGCCGGUAUGCAACAUCCUCUCUUCAUCGAACGAGAUUAAACGGAAGAUAAUAUAUGAUCCUUCGUGUCAUGAUGACAUCAUCUGAUCCUGGACUAGUAGCUGGAGGUCUAAUAUCACGUUCAAACGCCACGUUAUAAAUCUACUUGGCGCGUGUUUCCUCGGCGAUUCUUAUUUACGACCGUAAGUUGGAAACGAGAGCGAGACGUAUUGACCUUCGCUAUUAUUCCGGGCCAACGAAUGAAAUUAAUUUACGAACAGCGCCGUGGAUUCCUCAAGCCUACUGGCGAUCAAUCACGAGCGACACGCUGCCGCUGAUGAAGAUAUUUAUAGCCGCGAUCAUGCGGCAAUCACUUUGUGACAUUAUAAUAGAUUCAGGCGCUGAUCAUUAGUGUGGCCCAGGGUAACACAUAAUUCGACCGGCGGUGUUCGAGUUAUGAUGCCUGCGCGUCUCGAUGUGUGCCGAUGUGUAGCCGAACAUAAAAAAUCCUCCUCCCGGGUGAGGCCGUUCACGGGACAGAGACCCCGAUUCGUGAAGGUCGUUCGAUGCCCUACGUAAUUCCUUUCGGAUUCCUGCACUUCCCUAAAGCAAUCUAAAUAGUUCAUCGAACGUUCUACCUACAUCUGUCAAUAAAAAUCCCAAUGAGCUCUUAACUGCAUGACUUACCAUGCAUCUUUCGAUGUUCAUCAACUCUAUUUGAAUUCAUUAUUCUACGUCUUUUCAAUAAUUGUUCCUACUUACACUGAAAAUGUCUGAUAAUAAUGGAACAUAGAUAAUACAUAAUUAAAUUUAAAUUUAAAAAUUUGUUUUAAUUUUAACGUUUAAUUUACUUCAAACGGUCCACUUCAAUUUUUGUGUUAAUUUAACACGAGAUGAAUAUAUUAGAAAGUAACACAUAUAUUAUAUUUAAAAAGUAAACAAAACAUGUAACACUUUAACACAAUUUGAAAGCAAAUUGCAUAGAUGUACUUCUUCAAUAAAAUUAACAUUUAAAUCUAA
Molecule: long non-coding RNA, 4045 nt
Organism: Monomorium pharaonis (pharaoh ant)
Lineage: Eukaryota; Metazoa; Arthropoda; Insecta; Hymenoptera; Formicidae
Exons: 2
Source: RefSeq, a predicted model, not a curated record